RNAcentral lists this long non-coding RNA (2765 nucleotides) under Homo sapiens (human). Its description in RNAcentral is "non-protein coding lnc-SLC17A6-3:1". Lineage: Eukaryota; Metazoa; Chordata; Mammalia; Primates; Hominidae. The record is from RNAcentral.
CUUGGAGACGGCGACUCUCUGCGUACUGAUUGGAACAUCCGCGAAAUGAUACGCCUCUCUGCAAUGCUAUUGGUCGAAAUGCAUGUCAAUCUCCCAGCGUCUUUAUCCGUGUUCCUUGACUCUGGGCAACUUAAAAGCCCUAAUACUUUUACUUUCGCCACACAAAGAGGUUCUUCUUAGUGGAGGGAGAGCAGAUGUAGGGCAUCCUACCGAGAAUUUCCGGAACCACGUGCGAGAUGAUGCCAGUCAUGAACGUCUCCGCGCUUCCUUUCGCUUUGGAAAUAUCCUUAAGUAGAAAUUUUCUGAGCUUUGCCUAAAACUAGAAUCUGUGUUGAGGUUUUUCAAAAUUAAGUAACGCCAGAGACAUACUGUGACGUGAGGAAACGCUCUUAAAUGAAAUUUUAAGAUCUAUUUGAGAAACAUGUACUAAAAAUGUACUGACCUCCUAUUAAUGCCAGGCGCUAUGCUGAAUUCUGGGCCUUCACAUUGUCCUUCCAUUAUUAGAACUGAAGCCCAGAUUAUUUGAAACAAAAAAUAAACUUCAAUAAUUUAUUAAAAUUUGCAAAGGAACAAAAUUUUACUUCACAAUUGUACAUUUCGUUUUCGUAAUUUUUAGGACAAAAUAGCUUAAUUGACUCUUCUGUCAUACAAAUAAUCAGCUGAAGGAAAUGGCAUUUAAGAGCAUCGAACAAUAAUAAAUGUUUGAUUAAAUAAAAACCGUGACAAGAGAGUAGGGAGGAGAAGGUCCUAUGUCGCUCACUGAUGCACUUAACAAACAUUUGUCAACUCCUAGGAGUUGCAUUCUGUACAAAAUGCACAACAAUUCUUACUUAAGUUCAUAAUAUAGUAAUUCAUUUGAGCUGAAUUUCCUUCCAGUCCUAAAGACACAGCCAAAACUAUUCGAAAAGUGGGGGAAGGUGUUUUGUUUUGUACUUUAACAAAAAGGGGAAGAGAAACAAAUUUAAAAGAGGGGAAGAGUCAUUUUUCAUUUAUUAAAAUAAGCAUUCCUACACCUUUUAGAAAGUAAAGCAGUGAUGUGCAUGCUGUUAAUUCAGAUUUAUGCAUUUAUUUAUUUAUUUUGAAACGGAGUCUCAUUCUGUCGCCCAGGCGCGGCCAAUUUUUGUAUUUUUAGUAGAGAUGGGAUUUCACCUUAUUGGUCAGGCUGGUCUCGAACUUCUGACCUCAAGUGAUCCUCCCGCCUCGGCCUCCCAAAGUGCUGGGAUUAGAGGCGUGUGCCACCGCGCCCGGCUAUUAUUUGAUUUUUAUUAGUUAUCUCAAACUCUUACUUGGUCCUGAAAUCGUUAUUUUAUUUUAUCCUAAGGAUACUAUGAAUCUUAAAAUUCUUUUUCUUGGCUACUACAAACUUAGAACCAAGUGUGCAGCCUGCCUUUAGCAAAUGUACAGGCAUCACUAAUUCAUUUAUUUAUUCUUAUAUUUAACACCUAUUAUGAUACAUAGUAUGAGGUGCUACAGAUUUAGUAGUAAAAUAAAUGCAGUCCUAGCAUGAGUGGAGAAGUUCAUCUUGUACCAUUUAAGAGAGACAUUAAAUGAAUAACCUCAAAUGUGAUAGUAGGAUGAAAUUGAGUGGGGUCACCAAGUCUUAGGGGAUAGGAAGGUCUCUUUAAUUACUGACUUUUCAGGCCGGAGGCAGUGGCUUAUGCCUGUAAUCCCAGCACUUUGUGGGGCUGAGGCCAGGCGGGUGGAUUACCUGGGGUCAGGAGUUCCAGACCAGCCUGGCCAAUAUGGCAAAACUCUGUCUCUACUAAACAAACAAACAAAAAAAUUAGCUGGGCAUGGCGGUGCACACCUGUGAUCCUAGCUAAUCGGGAGGUUAAGGCAGGAGAAUAGCUUGAACCCGGGAGGUGAAGGUUACAGUGAGCUGAGAUCGGGCCACUGCACUCCUGCCUGGGUGACACAGCAAGACUCCAUCUCAAAAAAAAAAAAAAAGGAAAAUGGAAAAAAAAAGGAAAAGAAACCAACUUUUCAGUUGAAAGUUCAAAGCUGAGUGUUCAGAGGAGCCUUCAAGGCUACAGGAAUCCUUAAUUUUUUUUGCAGGUAUCUGAGUUGAAAGAACCAGGCCUAUUUAAGGAGGUGGAAAAAAUCCAAAAAAGCUUUGAUUCAGAAUGGGGAUGACAGUGUAUGGCAAGAAUUAUGCAGAUUAACUUUAGCUUCAUACCUUUCUACUUAUCUGUUUAAAUCUUGAUUUUAAAUUCUUCCUUGAGCAUAGUAACGUAUAAACUCCUACAUAUUUCAGAUUAGUCUAUUUUCAUUAAAUAAAAUGUCUAUGAAGUUUCCCCCUCUAAAGAAAGAAAAGCCUAGCAUUUCAACCUAUAUUCUUGAGGCAGGGUGGGGAGGGAUACAAAAACUUAAUUAUAAUGCAAAGCAGAUUUUAUAUAUUUUGAAAAUUUUAAGAAUUUUGCUAUGAGAGACUAGAUAGAAACUGACAGGAGAGUUCUGGGAAGACUACAGAGGACUGAUACUUGAUUUAGGCCUCAAAGUGUUUGAACAAUCAUGGGACAGAAGAAAAUCCAAGUGAGAGAAAUAAUAUAAGGUAAAAUAUAUGAGAACACAAAUGUGUGUACUGUGUGCCAUGAAUACCAGGAACAAUCUCCCUCCUCUUGGUUUUGAUCCCCAAAUUCCUGGGAUACAGUAAAUUGGGAAAGAAAAAGGCCAAAUUUCAGCAGAUUUUAUUUUUAUUUAUUUAUUUUGAUUUUUUUCUGUUCUUUGGUGAAGUUUUCAAAUAUUGUAGCUCAUAAAACUUUCUU